UACGUAGGGUGCAAGCGUUGUCCGGAAUUAUUGGGCGUAAAGAGCUCGUAGGUGGUUUGUUACGUCUGCUGUGAAAUCCUAGGGCUUAACCCUGGGCUUGCAGUGGAUACGGGCAGACUAGAGGUAGGUAGGGGAGAAUGGAAUUCCUGGUGUAGCGGUGAAUGCGCAGAUAUCAGGAGGAACACCGGUGGCGAAGGCGGUUCUCUGGGCCUUACCUGACACUGAGGAGCGAAAGCGUGGGGAGCAAACAGG
Molecule: ribosomal RNA, 252 nt
Filed under: uncultured bacterium
Lineage: Bacteria
Description: partial 16S ribosomal RNA
Rfam family: Bacterial small subunit ribosomal RNA
Source: RNAcentral